This 253-nucleotide ribosomal RNA is filed under the name uncultured bacterium. RNAcentral describes it as "partial 16S ribosomal RNA". It matches the Rfam family "Bacterial small subunit ribosomal RNA", at positions 524 to 776 of the family's 1533-position model. The record is from RNAcentral.
UACAGAGGUCCCGAGCGUUGUUCGGAUUCACUGGGCGUAAAGGGUGCGUAGGUGGCUUGGAAAGUUUGAUGUGAAAGCUCAGGGCUUAACCCUGAAAUGGCAUUGAAUACUGUCGAGCUGGAGGUUUGGAGGGGGGACUGGAAUUCUUGGUGUAGCAGUGAAAUGCGUAGAUAUCAAGAGGAACACCAGUGGCGAAGGCGAGUCCCUGGACAACACCUGACACUGAGGCACGAAAGCUAGGGGAGCAAACAGG